GGGUAUAUAGCCCAGCGGUAGAGUGCAUGCUUAGCAUGCACGAGGUCAUGGGUUCGAUCCCCAGUACUUCCG
This 72-nucleotide transfer RNA is filed under the name Camelus bactrianus (Bactrian camel). It matches the Rfam family "tRNA". From Rfam's summary of the family: Transfer RNA (tRNA) molecules are approximately 80 nucleotides in length. Their secondary structure includes four short double-helical elements and three loops (D, anti-codon, and T loops). Lineage: Eukaryota; Metazoa; Chordata; Mammalia; Artiodactyla; Camelidae. The record is from Rfam by way of RNAcentral. RNAcentral also lists the same sequence under 1 other name.